RNAcentral lists this long non-coding RNA (200 nucleotides) under Lathyrus oleraceus (garden pea). RNAcentral's name for it is "Pisum sativum (pea) long non-coding RNA (PSAT_LNC016257)". Lineage: Eukaryota; Viridiplantae; Streptophyta; Magnoliopsida; Fabales; Fabaceae. The record is from RNAcentral.
AAAAACAUAAUUUUAUUAUAAAAAGUAUAUAAAAGAAUUUUAUUAAAAAUUAUUAAUAAUAAGGUAUGUUUAAAUCUGAUUUAUAUUAGACAUCUAUAUUGAGUAGAUGUUACUUAAGUCAUAAAAUUCUCUCAGCAAGAUUGAUUAGUAUAGUAUAAGCUUUCUUUUAGGAACUUAAGUCAUAACAUAUUAGUAUUUCA